GGCUUAGAAGCAGCCAUCCUUUAAAGAAAGCGUAACAGCUCACUGGUCUAAAUAAGAGAUUCUGCGGCGAAGAUGUAACGGGGCUCAAGACACGCACCGAAGCUUAGGGUGUGCGCUUUUAAGCGUACGCGGUAGCGGAGCGUUCCGUAAGCCGUUGAAGCGAUCUGGUAAUGGGUCGUGGAGGUAUCGGAAGUGCGAAUGCAGACAUGAGUAGCGAUAAAGAGGGUGAGAUGCCCUCUCGCCGAAAGACCAAGGGUUCCUGCGCAAGGCUAAUCCGCGCAGGGUGAGCCGGCCCCUAAGACGAGCCCGAAGGGGGUAGUCGAUGGGAACACGGUUAAUAUUCCGUGACCUGGUGGA
RNAcentral lists this ribosomal RNA (357 nucleotides) under uncultured eukaryote. RNAcentral describes it as "partial Bacterial large subunit ribosomal RNA". It matches the Rfam family "Bacterial large subunit ribosomal RNA", at positions 1103 to 1452 of the family's 2925-position model. The record is from RNAcentral.